CCUACGGGAGGCUGCAGUGGGGAAUAUUGGACAAUGGGCGAAAGCCUGAUCCAGCCAUGCCGCGUGUGUGAAGAAGGCCUUCGGGUUGUAAAGCACUUUCAGUGGGGAAGAAAGCCUUGGGGCUAAUACCCUCGAGGAAGGACAUCACCCACAGAAGAAGCACCGGCUAACUCCGUGCCAGCAGCCGCGGUAAUACGGAGGGUGCGAGCGUUAAUCGGAAUUACUGGGCGUAAAGCGCGCGUAGGCGGUCUGAUAAGCCGGUUGUGAAAGCCCCGGGCUCAACCUGGGAACGGCAUCCGGAACUGUCAGGCUAGAGUGCAGGAGAGGAAGGUAGAAUUCCCGGUGUAGCGGUGAAAUGCGUAGAGAUCGGGAGGAAUACCAGUGGUGAAGGCGGCCUUCUGGACUGACACUGACGCUGAGGUGCGAAAGCGUGGGUAGCAAACAGGAUUAGAUACCCGGGUAGUC
RNAcentral lists this ribosomal RNA (465 nucleotides) under Vreelandella stevensii. RNAcentral's name for it is "partial 16S ribosomal RNA". It matches the Rfam family "Bacterial small subunit ribosomal RNA", at positions 338 to 795 of the family's 1533-position model. Lineage: Bacteria; Pseudomonadati; Pseudomonadota; Gammaproteobacteria; Oceanospirillales; Halomonadaceae. The record is from RNAcentral.